CCUAACCCUAACUCGACGACUCCGCCUCACGCUCUCUUCUCCGCCCAACGCCGCGCCACCCUUCGCUCUCCGCGCCGCCCACCUCUCCGCCUCGCUCCGUACGUUGCAUCGCCAUCCUUCUCCGUUUUCUAAUUGCUAACAAGUUUUCACAUGUAUAUGCGAUUGACUGCGAAUUGACGACCAUUAAUUGACCAUAGCGAAAAUCCAUGAUCUCCUGCUUUAUGGAAAUCAGUCAUUUUUCAUACCGAGACUAGUGUUAGUACCUGAAUUACAUUCUAUCUCUGGGUUGUUCCGCUUUGGAUCAAGGAAAACGGAGCUCCUGGUGUGCGAGAGAGGAUAGUUGGUUAGGGUUUGUGGACAGUGACUGCCACCCUUUUCCAGUUUCCGUCACCCCCCAUGGUCAGUCUACUGCACAUGACACAAGCCACCGGUUGAUCACAUGCCAAAAGGAAAUUAACAAUAUAAAAUAGAGGAGACCAACCAAACAACUCCUCUAGCUACAAUCCUUUUCCAUUUUCCAUCGCUACCGCACACAACCAAAAUGCAAGUCACAUGGGAAUAAAAGAAAGAAGACACCAACCAAACAACCCCCUUCUCUUUCUCCUCCUUGCAGACUCGGUUUGAGCCUUUGCUCUCUGGAGAUCAGUUUCAGAAACUGUGUUCGAGAGAUGCACAUUCAUCACAUGGGAAAUAAAUAUAUGAAGAGCUGAGAGUUCUUAGAAAGAGAGGAGAGACAACAAAUGCCAUUGUAACUCAUUUUAGAAAUAUGGAGGACGAGAAUGGGCUUGAGCUAAGUUUGGGCCUUUCUUUUGGAGGAUCCUCAGGCAAAUCCAAAAGCAGAGAUGUUAGCUUAGAUCACAGGAUAGAUGAAGGAAGUUGUGUGAAAACGGUGGGUAGCAGCAGCAUGGCUGCUUCUGAUGUACCACUUAAGAACUUCUUCCAAACUAACGCUGAAGACCAGGAGCACAGUGGGAAACAAGCAGUUCUGCAACCUCGAGAAAACUUCUGGACAGACCUGAACAAAUUUACUGUUUCAGUAUCAGAUGGUUCUGAUAAUAAACGGAGUAACCAAUUGCAGUUCAUGGGAAAUCAAGAGCCAUUUAUAGCAAAUAGCAAGACAACAAACAGUGAGGAAGACAAUUCAGGAGCCAAGAAACGUCGAUUGACCACUGAGGAAAUGAAUUUUCAAAAGAACCAUGUGUCGUUGGUUGACCAUUCUGCAAUAGCUGGCAAGGGUCCUUCUGGUGAUACUUUUGUCAAAUUAUCACAUAACACACCUUCCAUGGAUGAUGGUUGCUCUGGUGAAAAUGACGAUGUAGAAGGGUCAGAGGCAGAAGGAUCAAACUCUUGGUUGGUUUCUCAGCGUGAGGACAGCUUUAAGCACUCGGACCUUCCUAAAGGUGCUGACAAGAGUGCCUCGUCUGGAAUCAGCCAUCAAGGGCAGAAGCAGCAACUUUAUUCAGGAAAUGAGUCCAAUCCUGGACUUGGGAAAGUUGCACAUGGAAUUCCAUUAUCACUUCAACCACUAACUGUCAUGACUGUGCCUUACCCAAUACCAGUUGAAGUACCACCUGCCGCUAGUGUACCUAACACGGUAGCUUUUCCUUCACCUUGUGUCAUGCAACUGAUGCCUGUUGCAAACAGUGAACAGCCUGUGGUCCAGGCCGUGAACACUAACAACUCGCAGAUGGCUUUUGGAUAUUCAACUAUCCAACUCCCAAGACUAGAAACCAAUUCUUCCUGGGCAUUUGGUUCUCAGUCUCAGCUUGUCUCUUCCUCUACAACUAAAAACCAUGCGGAUGGAGGGCCAGAUUCUCAGCAUGCUGAACCUCAUGUUCGGAUACCCCAUGGUUCCUCAUCAGCCUUGGCAUUGGAGGGGAGAUCGACAAAUUCCACAAAAGGUGGUAAGCAUGUUAUUGAUACUGGCACAUCUUCCUCAUCGCAUGUGGAAGAUGAAGCCAAGGGAAUAAAUACUGUUUUCUGGCAAAGUAAUAAAGCAAACCCUGAUGAAGGCCAUGAAGGAUCCCAAAUAAGACCAGGUGCUGCACCAAAUGUGAAAUUUGGAGGAUGUGGUUCAUAUCCAGAUCUCCCAUGGGUUUCAACAACUGGGCCAGGCCCAAACGGUAGAACCAUAUCUGGUGUUACCUACAAGUACACUGAAAACCAGAUAAAGAUUGUUUGUGCUUGUCAUGGGUAUCACAUGUCCCCUGGAGAGUUUGUUCGACAUGCUAGUGCAGAUGCUGCCGAUGCUGAAAAUAGCGCAACUCUUGCACCAUUUGCCACUACCAAUCCGGCAACUUCUGCACAGAACUAAUUCUCAAGCACCUCUUGUGAUGGUGGUCUCCAUUGAGUGCAAAUAAGUGGAUACAGCUCUGAAAAACUAGAUAAAGAUUACUAAUGUAGCUAGGUCUUGUUGCGAGUGAUAUUUGCUACAGAAGAGAGAACUCUUUUUGUCUUGUUGUGAAUCACUUUCCUGUUGUGCUCAUGGAAGAUGGCAAAAGUAGCUUAGCAACCUGAGGCUCUAGCGUCCUUUUAAUUGCUUUUUCGUGGGAAAAUAUAUAUGCUCGUAGGGGCUCUUAUCCUUGGAGGACACAUAUUAUGGACUAUGCAAUGAAGAUGAGUUAUUUAAGGUGGACCAGUUGUGAAAAUUGAGCAAGUUUAUGGUUUAUUUGAUUCCGAGGAGCAGACACUUCCUCGUUGUACUGUUGCAGCUUUCUGUAUCACACAAGUCUGUUUAAUCUUCAGCAGGUAAAGAAUAUGGAAUUCUGCUAGGAAUCUAAUCAGCAGCAUACUUUUUUCUACACCAAGGAUUGAUGGUUGUCGACGUUGUAUAACAAGAUCGAAUCAAGAUUAUAGUUCUUGCUUCAACUCUUCUCUGUAUCUGUGCCAUUUCACAGCUAAUUACUCGUUUUAACUCA
RNA transcript from Musa acuminata AAA Group (dessert banana), 2918 nucleotides. It is a transcript of the gene named protein NINJA homolog 1-like, with no coding region annotated. The transcript is spliced from 5 exons. The record is from RefSeq and is a predicted model, not a curated record. NCBI's taxonomy places the organism in Eukaryota, Viridiplantae, Streptophyta, Magnoliopsida, Zingiberales, Musaceae.